UACGGAGGGUGCAAGCGUUGCUCGGAAUUAUUGGGCGUAAAGGGUAGGUAGGUGGUCUCAUUUGUCUGGGGUGAAAGCCUUGAGCUUAACUCAAGAAGUGCCCCAGAAACGGUGAGACUGGAGUCCUGGAGAGGGUCGUGGAAUUCCCGGUGUAGCGGUGAAAUGCGUAGAGAUCGGGAGGAACACCAGAGGCGAAAGCGGCGACCUGGACAGGUACUGACACUCAACUACGAAAGCGUGGGGAGCAAACAGGAUUAGAAACCCCAGUAGUCC
Molecule: ribosomal RNA, 273 nt
Filed under: uncultured bacterium
Lineage: Bacteria
Description: partial 16S ribosomal RNA
Rfam family: Bacterial small subunit ribosomal RNA
Source: RNAcentral